ACCCUGGUACAUGACUGGUUUCUGUAGUUGAGAGUUGAUAAAAAUCUUUAGCCCCACGUCCUUGCAAAAGAAAAAUCAGGAGUGCCUGGGAGCCACAAUCAAGGAGUAGAAACCCAUUGUGCUCAUAGGAAAAGAGGGGGAAAGUAUUAUCUCAAUUUUACAGAGAGAGAGAGAGAAAUAAAUUAACCUGCUUAAGGUGGUCACACAGGAACCUGUGGCAGAGCAAGCAACUGAAUCCAUUUCUACUGAGCCUCAGCCCAGUGCAUGUACCCAGGACCAUCCAGGAGAUGAACAUAAUCCCCCACUUGAAGGAAUCUGAUUGGAAUGAAAAUUUUACUCUUCAGAUGGAAUUUCCAAAAGGGCUCGAGGGAGUUAGCAGUGCCAGUUUGCAGUACUUUAUUGCAAGUCUUGCCAUAUUUGGUGUUUCCUGGAUCCAUGUGGUUGCAGGAGAAUCUCAACUUUCAUAGACAUGGGUUUAACUCCUAAGAACCUGUGCUGGAGUCAUUUUGAGUUAGGAUCAUACAGAAUACGUAUAUAUUUGGGACUUGUAGGGACAUGAAUAAAUGUUGUGCUGUGUAGAAUGAAUUAUUAUUAAACAUCUUUCUACAGUGCCCUAAAUGUAUACUGUUUUUACAAACACAGAUAAAGUGAGUUCCCUGCCCUCAAGAGUUGAUGAUAUAAGCAGGACAAGUGAAACAAAAAGAUGAUAUUGGGUAACAAGAUAAGAGAGGUUGGGGGUUAUUGGUGAGGUGCAGUGGGUUUUCAGCAGGGAUUUGAAGCAGAAGCUGGAGGGCUAUUAGCAUAUGAGAACAGGGGGAAGGUUCAAGGCAUCGGGGCAGCAUGACACAAGGCACAAAGCUGAAAGGGAGGAGACAAAGCAGUAAGUCUUAAGGACAUCUGAUAAUCAUGAUGACCAUGGCCCUUUAGAAUCUCCUGUAACACUAAUCAUCUAGUUCUUAGCAGGAAGCCCUAAGAAACUCUGCUACCACUGAGCCUCAGUGCUUUAGAAGGAUGCUCUGUGAUGUACCAGUAUCCCUACCAGUGAUGAUCACAACCUAAGUUGGACAUACUGAGAACAAAUGUUACAACUCACAGACAACUGAUAGUCAUGGUACAUGCAUAAUUUUAGGGUUGGAUCCUGACCUUAGGUUCUCCCUAGAAGCAGUAGUAAUACAGUGCAACUAUGGAGCCACCCAGCAAUUACAUUAAUUUGGGGGUUGGAGCCUGGUCUCAGUUGUGCCACCUAGAAGCACAGCAAUGAUAUUAAAGCUGAGUUUGGAGUUAGGCCUCAUGGUCACUCUGCAGCAGCAGGAGGAACCCAGAGCUGUGUUUUGGGCCAGCAGUGAUGUCA
Molecule: long non-coding RNA, 1351 nt
Organism: Mauremys mutica (yellowpond turtle)
Lineage: Eukaryota; Metazoa; Chordata; Testudines; Geoemydidae
Exons: 3
Source: RefSeq, a predicted model, not a curated record